Molecule: ribosomal RNA, 37 nt
Filed under: Nephroma arcticum
Lineage: Eukaryota; Fungi; Ascomycota; Lecanoromycetes; Peltigerales; Nephromataceae
Description: partial 26S ribosomal RNA
Source: RNAcentral
AAUUGACCUCGGAUCAGAUAGGGAUACCCGCUGAACU